GACAGAGGGUGCAAACGUUGUUCGGAAUUACUGGGCGUAAAGCGAGUGUAGGCGGUCCGAAAAGUCAGGUGUGAAAGCCCUGGGCUCAACCCAGGAAGUGCACUUGAAACUGCCGGGCUAGAGUAUCGGAGAGGUUGGUGGAAUUCUCGGUGUAGAGGUGAAAUUCGUAGAUAUCGAGAGGAACACCGGUGGCGAAGGCGGCCAACUGGACGAAUACUGACGCUGAGACUCGAAAGCGUGGGGAGCAAACAGG
This 253-nucleotide ribosomal RNA is filed under the name uncultured bacterium. RNAcentral's name for it is "partial 16S ribosomal RNA". It matches the Rfam family "Bacterial small subunit ribosomal RNA", at positions 524 to 776 of the family's 1533-position model. The record is from RNAcentral.